AUUCGGCUUAGGGCAAGUCUGGUGCCAGCAGCCGCGGUAAUUCCAGCUCCAAUAGCGUAUAUUAAAGUUGUUGCAGUUAAAAAGCUCGUAGUUGAAUUUCGGGAUCAAUAUAUUGGUCAUGCUUAGGUAUGUACUGGUAUUAUUGAUUUCUCCCUUCUGAAGAACCAUGAUGUCAUUAAUUUGAUGUCGUGGGGAAUCAGGACUGUUACUUUGAAAAAAUUAGAGUGUUUAAAGCAGGCUUUCGCUUGAAUACAUUAGCAUGGAAUAAUGAAAUAGGACGUUUGAUUCUAUUUUGUUGGUUUCUAGGAUCGACGUAAUGAUUAAUAGGGAUAGUUGGGGGCAUUAGUAUUCAAUUGUCAGAGGUGAAAUUCUUGGAUUUAUUGAAGACUAACUACUGCGAAAGCAUUUGCCAAGGAUGUUUUCAUUAAUCAAGAACGAAAGUUAGGGGAUCGAAGACGAUCAGAUACCGUCGUAGUCUUAACCAUAAACUAUGCCGACUAGGGAUCGGAUGAUGUUAAUUUUUUAAUGACUCAUUCGGCGCCUUACGGGAAAC
This 553-nucleotide ribosomal RNA is filed under the name uncultured Glomus. Its description in RNAcentral is "SSU rRNA". It matches the Rfam family "Eukaryotic small subunit ribosomal RNA", at positions 539 to 1098 of the family's 1831-position model. Lineage: Eukaryota; Fungi; Glomeromycota; Glomeromycetes; Glomerales; Glomeraceae. The record is from RNAcentral.